CCUACGGGAGGCAGCAGUGAGGAAUAUUGGUCAAUGGGCGUAAGCCUGAACCAGCCAAGCCGCGUGAGGGAUGAAGGUUCUAUGGAUCGUAAACCUCUUUUAUAAGGGAAUAAAGUGUGGGACGUGUCCUAUUUUGUAUGUACCUUAUGAAUAAGGAUCGGCUAACUACGUGCCAGCAGCCGCGGUAAUACGGAGGAUGCGAGCGUUAUCCGGAUUUAGUGGGUUUAAAGGGUGCGUAGGCGGGAGGCCAAGUCAGCGGGAAAAAUGCGGUGCUAAACGCCGUCGUGCCGUUGAAACUGGCGGUCUUGAGUGGGGGAGAGGUAUGCGGAAUGCGUGGUGUAGCGGUGAAAUGCAGAGAUAUCACGAAGAACUCCGAUGGCGAAGGCAGCAUACCGGCCCCCUACUGACGCUGAGGCACGAAAGCGUGGGUAUCAAACAGGAUUAGAUACCCUAGUAGUC
Molecule: ribosomal RNA, 459 nt
Filed under: uncultured bacterium
Lineage: Bacteria
Description: partial 16S ribosomal RNA
Rfam family: Bacterial small subunit ribosomal RNA
Source: RNAcentral